CAACCUGCCCAUCACUUGGGGAUAACCUUGCGAAAGUAAGACUAAUACCCAAUGAUAUCUCUAGAAGACAUCUGAAGGAGAUUAAAGAUUUAUCGGUGAUGAAUGGGGAUGCGUCUGAUUAGCUUGUUGGCGGGGUAACGGCCCACCAAGGCGACGAUCAGUAGGGGUUCUGAGAGGAAGGUCCCCCACAUUGGAACUGAGACACGGUCCAAACUCCUACGGGAGGCAGCAGUGAGGAAUAUUGGUCAAUGGGCGAGAGCCUGAACCAGCCAAGUAGCGUGCAGGAUGACGGCCCUAUGGGUUGUAAACUGCUUUUAUAAGGGAAUAAAGUGAGCCUCGUGAGGCUUUUUGCAUGUACCUUAUGAAUAAGGACCGGCUAAUUCCGUGCCAGCAGCCGCGGUAAUACGGAAGGUCCGGGCGUUAUCCGGAUUUAUUGGGUUUAAAGGGAGCGUAGGCCGGAGAUUAAGCGUGUUGUGAAAUGUAGAUGCUCAACAUCUGCACUGCAGCGCGAACUGGUUUCCUUGAGUACGCACAAAGUGGGCGGAAUUCGUGGUGUAGCGGUGAAAUGCUUAGAUAUCACGAAGAACUCCGAUUG
RNAcentral lists this ribosomal RNA (595 nucleotides) under uncultured Bacteroidota bacterium. RNAcentral's name for it is "bacterial SSU rRNA". It matches the Rfam family "Bacterial small subunit ribosomal RNA", at positions 122 to 715 of the family's 1533-position model. Lineage: Bacteria; Pseudomonadati; Bacteroidota. The record is from RNAcentral.